This 407-nucleotide ribosomal RNA is filed under the name uncultured bacterium. RNAcentral's name for it is "bacterial SSU rRNA". It matches the Rfam family "Bacterial small subunit ribosomal RNA", at positions 29 to 483 of the family's 1533-position model. The record is from RNAcentral.
AACGAACGCUGGCGGCAUGCCUAACACAUGCAAGUCGAACGAGACCUUCGGGUCUAGUGGCGCACGGGUGCGUAACGCGUGGGAAUCUGCCCUUGGGUUCGGAAUAACAGUUAGAAAUGACUGCUAAUACCGGAUAAUGUCUUCGGACCAAAGAUUUAUCGCCCAGGGAUGAGCCCGCGUAGGAUUAGCUAGUUGGUGAGGUAAAGGCUCACCAAGGCGACGAUCCUUAGCUGGUCUGAGAGGAUGAUCAGCCACACUGGACUGAGACACGGCCCAGACUCCUACGGGAGCAGCAGUGGGGAAUAUUGGACAAUGGGCGAAAGCCUGAUCCAGCAAUGCCCGCGUGAGUGAUGAAGGCCUUAGGUUGUAAAGCUCUUUACCCGGGAUGAUAAUAGACAGUACCGGGA